UCGCUCUGCAAGGUCAGCUCAAGGGUGUCUAGAAGUCUGGAUAUUGAGCAGGCCUGUCAGGGUGUUG
RNAcentral lists this microRNA precursor (67 nucleotides) under Otolemur garnettii (small-eared galago). Its description in RNAcentral is "miRNA (ENSOGAG00000021287.1)". The record is from RNAcentral. Lineage: Eukaryota; Metazoa; Chordata; Mammalia; Primates; Galagidae.